CGCGUAGGUGGCGCGGGUAGUCGUCGGUGAAAGUUCAGGGCUCAACCCUGAAUCGGCCGGCGAUACUCCCGUGCUCGAGUGUGGUAGAGGCCAAUGGAAUUCCGGGUGUAGCGGUGGAAUGCGUAGAGAUCCGGAAGAACACCGGUGGCGAAGGCGGUUGGCUGGGCCACAACUGACACUGAUGCGCGACAGCGUGGGGAGCAAACA
Molecule: ribosomal RNA, 207 nt
Filed under: uncultured bacterium
Lineage: Bacteria
Description: partial 16S ribosomal RNA
Rfam family: Bacterial small subunit ribosomal RNA
Source: RNAcentral